RNAcentral lists this long non-coding RNA (1717 nucleotides) under Sus scrofa (pig). The record is from RNAcentral. Lineage: Eukaryota; Metazoa; Chordata; Mammalia; Artiodactyla; Suidae.
GGUCUUUUCCCUGUGGGGUUGAGUUCGCUCGGUUUCUCGCUCCUGCUCGCGGGGGGGCCGGGGCCGGGGCGCGGGCGACAGAGCCUUUCUCACUUCUCAAAGAUGUUCGCGGGAAGCGUAACUGCAGGGCGGCGGGCGGCUGCGCUCACACAAGCAUUGGGGCGGGCGCUGUGGCCGGGUGUUGGGGGAUUGGGCCGGAGGCCCGAGGACCAUGUGCAUGUUUGUCGGGAGCCUGAAGUCCCUGCAGGUCAGGGCCCUGCCCCAGGCUAGCCGCUGGGAGUGAGCAGCCCCGAGAGAAGCGGGUAAGCGGGCUGCCUGCACCCGAGGGCGCGGAACAGGGUUCGUAGUGGGAUUGCGAGGGGAGCUUGCUCGGCUCUCAUGAUGAUUAUGUAUAAAAUGUCGUCAGAAGCGAGAAAUGACGAAUUUAACGCCGAUCUGACCGCAGUCGCUGAAACCGACUUCAGGUAUGGUAACUGCCAAAAUGCUUCCUAAGUGCACGUUCUAUUCCAUAUUUCAGGUGGCAGGCCCGCUCAGGGCUUUGGGAACCGGAGCAGCAUCCUUCCUCGAGGUAAGGGCCAGUCGGGGCAGGGCUUGGCAGGUAACCUAGCUGUUUUAAUCUCAAAUGCACUGACCUUGACGUCUACUUCGUCGCCGUGACAUAAUUAUGAACCGCCUCCUUGCCUAACUGCAACGUUAGGCGGUUGCAGGCUUCUGGUCUGACACUGGUUAUGUCUAAGGAGCAUCUGUAUCGAGGAGCAAUUGUGUCAGAAUGCCUCCCUGCAGGCUGUAUUUUAGGGUGGUUUGGAGAGUCAGGGCUUUGGCGUGGUGAGGUACUUGGCUGCUCUGAUGAAAUCACUAAUAGGAAGUGCCGUCAGAAGCGAUAACUGACGAUAAUAACUCCUGGCUGACUGCAGUCGAGCCCUCACAAGUAGCUGGUGCCCAGGAGUAAGUUGGUCUGGGCUGUGACCUGGAAUUUUUUGUUCACCCAGGCUGCAGAUUACCAAGGUGCCAGCAUGUGAUCACCAACAGCUGAGCAUGGCCUGCUCAGAAGGUGCCUCGUGUGCAUCCCACCAGGUGUUGAGCGCUGAAGAAUGAUCAGCAGAGCAGAGUUUUAAAGCUGCCAGCGGUGGCCCAGAGACCUCAGCCCAAGAAGAGGUAAGAUUUGAUCUGAACAGUAACCACCACCCUAUGGUAGAAUGCCUAAGCAGCUAGUUUUGUUAAAAUUGGUUUGAAGAAAAAGAUAUCAAAUGAUGAAAUAACCCAAAAAAGCUGGAAUUACCGGCAGAUGGUACAGUGGUGAACCUAUGGUUUUCUGAAGAUAUCUUUUAUGCUGUGAUUGACUUCUUGGAGUAUAAAGUAAGAUUGAUGGAUCUGAGUUUCUUUACAGGCUGUGCUACAGCAGAGGCAGAAUUCGAAGGCCCAAGGACCAGUCCUGGCCAUCCAUCCACUUGGACUCUGAAAACCGGGCCUUGACAGUUGGUGUAGAAAUGAUGCUCACCUCGUGCUGAGGGGACAUAAUUGCCACUGAGGGAACCAAGAAAUGGACUUGUCAACCUUUCCCUGGGACAGGCACUUUCGGUGUUAGUAGAUUCAUGAGUUUUUCAUCAUCGUCUCUUAACCAAAAGGAGCUUUUGCAUUUUAAAAUACUGUAAAUUUGUUAUAUUUGGUGUUUUAAACUGGAAAUGUCAAAAUGUCCAUGCAGUUACAGUAAACACAA